UCCUGGUUAACCCAGGCAGUCUCGUUAGAGUUCCCGCCAUUACGCGCUGGCAACUAACGAUAAGGGUUGCGCUCGUUGCUGGACUUAACCAAACACCUCACGGCACGAGCUGACGACAGCCAUGCAGCACCUAUAUAGAGACCCUUACGGGAAACACUAUCUCUAGUGUCGUCCUCUACAUUUCGAGCCCAGGUAAGGUUCUUCGUGUUGCAUCGAAUUAAACCACAUGCUCCACUGCUUGUGCGGGCCCCCGUCAAUUCUUUUGAGUUUCACCCUUGCGAGCGUACUCCCCAGGCGGCAUACUUAAUGCGUUAGCUUCGAUACAGGAGGGGUUGAGCCCACCUACAUCUAGUAUGCAUCGUUUAAGGCUAGGACUAC
RNAcentral lists this unclassified non-coding RNA (378 nucleotides) under uncultured Chlamydiales bacterium. Its description in RNAcentral is "contains 16S-23S intergenic spacer region". The record is from RNAcentral. Lineage: Bacteria; Pseudomonadati; Chlamydiota; Chlamydiia; Chlamydiales.